GACGAACGCUGGCGGCGUGCUUAACACAUGCAAGUCGAACGGAAAGGCCCUGCUUUUGUGGGGUGCUCGAGUGGCGAACGGGUGAGUAACACGUGAGUAACCUGCCCUUGACUUUGGGAUAACUUCAGGAAACUGGGGCUAAUACCGGAUAGGAGCUCCUGCUGCAUGGUGGGGGUUGGAAAGUUUCGGCGGUUGGGGAUGGACUCGCGGCUAAUCAGCUUGUUGGUGGGGUAGUGGCUUACCAAGGCUUUGAUGGGUAGCCGGCCUGAGAGGGUGACCGGCCACAUUGGGACUGAGGUACGGCGCAGAGUCCUACGGGAGGCAGCAGUGGGGAAUAUUGCACAAUGGGGGGAAGCCUGAUGCAGCAGCGCCCCGUGCGGGAUGACGGCCUUCGGGUUGUAAACCGCUGUCGCCUGUGACGAAGCGUGAGUGACGGUAAUGGGUAAAGAAGCACCGGCUAACUACGUG
Molecule: ribosomal RNA, 468 nt
Filed under: uncultured bacterium
Lineage: Bacteria
Description: partial 16S ribosomal RNA
Rfam family: Bacterial small subunit ribosomal RNA
Source: RNAcentral